RNAcentral lists this transfer RNA (85 nucleotides) under archaeon. RNAcentral describes it as "tRNA-Ser". It matches the Rfam family "tRNA". From Rfam's summary of the family: Transfer RNA (tRNA) molecules are approximately 80 nucleotides in length. Their secondary structure includes four short double-helical elements and three loops (D, anti-codon, and T loops). The record is from RNAcentral.
GCCAGGGUGGCAGAACCAGGUUAAUGCGCACGGCUGGAGACCGUGUGGGCUUUUGCCCGUCUGGGUUCAAAUCCCAGCCCUGGCG